AUCUAGGGCCGUAAUACCCUGAACGCGCCCGAUCUCAUCUGAUCCCGGAAGCUUAGCAGGGUCGGGCCCGUUUAGUACUUGGAUGGGAGACGGCCUGGAAAUACCAGGCACUGUAGGCU
Molecule: ribosomal RNA, 119 nt
Organism: Cercocebus atys (sooty mangabey)
Lineage: Eukaryota; Metazoa; Chordata; Mammalia; Primates; Cercopithecidae
Source: Ensembl